RNAcentral lists this long non-coding RNA (748 nucleotides) under Nothobranchius furzeri (turquoise killifish). RNAcentral's name for it is "lncRNA (ENSNFUG00015013395.1)". The record is from RNAcentral. Lineage: Eukaryota; Metazoa; Chordata; Actinopteri; Cyprinodontiformes; Nothobranchiidae.
GGUUACCGCUUCAGAGGCAGCGAACCGGGGGAAGCUUCACGUUCACGGACGUCCUGCAGGGAAGAGCCGCAAUUGUUGCUUCAUCGGAGAGCGAAUGGGAGGAAAUUCCUCUUUCUCAGUUAGAACGCACGCCGCCACCCCCACCCCCACCGUCCCCAUAAGAUGCGUUCAGUCAGCUGGACAGAGCUUUGAAUAAACUCUAAGGGCAGGAAGGGAGCGCACACUAUCAGGACCACCCAUCACAGCAAUACGCAGCAAGUCAAGACUUUAUCCCACACACACAUCGACACUGUGACGAGGGGGUGGCAUCGCAGCCAGAUCAGCAUCCGGUGACCAACGAUCAACACGCUGCGCUGCGCCGUCCCACCGCUGCUACACAGAGACCCGAACAGCCGUCGAUAACCAGCGACGAGGACUCCGCGCCACACCCUCCCCCCGCCGCCACACAGAGACCCGGUAAGUGAUCAGAAAUAAAGUGUUAAAUAAAGUUUUUAUUAAAAGAUGAUGAUUCGCUCAUACUCUCUCUAUUUAUCCAUCCAGAAUUACGUCGGAGGAGGAAUUGCCGGCUCACUCAUCUUCAAAGAACAAACUGAAUGAAAAUGGCGUAUCUUCUUCUUCAAAUCAGCUAUGGCCUCGUCAACAUCGUGGCAGAUGUUGUCUUUGUGAGGAUUAAAAGAGGACACUACAUUAACCUGUGAGGAUUAAAAGAGGACCGAGGAUUUUUUUUUUCAUUCAUCAAGUUUAUAGU